GGUGCUCUUGAUUUGUUUAUUUUGGGAAUAUAUAUAUCUAUAUAUGGAUUUAGUUAAUGUUGAUGCUUUAUUACACUUCCCCUUUUUAUGAGAUAACCAUAAGACCUUUACAUAUUCGGAUUCUAUAUCAUUGAUAUAUCUUUUUUCUUUCUUUCACCCUUCAUUUUUAUCUGUAUAUUCUUAUUGCUUUACAACUUAUAAUCAGAUUCGUUUUUUUUUUUUAUCCAAUAUCUCAGUUGUUAUAAUUCUACUACCAAAAUAUGAUAUCUUGAUUUUAUUUCGAUUUUUAGAUUAAUUCUUUAAAUCCAGAUAAUGCGAAGCGAUGAGUUGGUUAGUACUUAGUUAUUAAUGAAUUCAUCCUAUAAGUCAUUUAUUUUAUUGUCGAAC
This 387-nucleotide long non-coding RNA is filed under the name Arachis ipaensis. RNAcentral's name for it is "long non-coding RNA (AIPA_LNC000588)". Lineage: Eukaryota; Viridiplantae; Streptophyta; Magnoliopsida; Fabales; Fabaceae. The record is from RNAcentral.